GAUGAACGCUGGCGGCGUGCCUAAUACAUGCAAGUCGAGCGAACAGAUAAGGAGCUUGCUCCUUUGACGUUAGCGGCGGACGGGUGAGUAACACGUGGAUAACCUACCUAUAAGACUGGGAUAACUUCGGGAAACCGGAGCUAAUACCGGAUAACAUAUUGAACCGCAUGGUUCAAUAGAGAAAGGCGGCUUUGCUGUCACUUAUAGAUGGAUCCGCGCCGUAUUAGCUAGUUGGUAAGGUAACGGCUUACCAAGGCAACGAUACGUAGCCGACCUGAGAGGGUGAUCGGCCACACUGGAACUGAGACACGGUACAGACUCCUACGGGAGGCAGCAGUAGGGAAUCGGCAGCCAUGGGCGAAGGCCUGACGGAGAAGCGCCGAGUGAGUGAUGAAGGUCUUCGGAUCGUAAAACUCUGUUAUCAGGGAAGAACAAAUGUGUAAGUAACUGUGCACAUCUUGACGGUAACUGAUCAGAAAGCCACGGCUAACUACGUG
This 497-nucleotide ribosomal RNA is filed under the name uncultured bacterium. RNAcentral describes it as "partial 16S ribosomal RNA". It matches the Rfam family "Bacterial small subunit ribosomal RNA", at positions 28 to 507 of the family's 1533-position model. The record is from RNAcentral.